CCUACGGGAGGCAGCAGUGGGGAAUAUUGGGCAAUGGGCGAAAGCCUGACCCAGCGACGCCGCGUGAGGGACGAAGGCCUUCGGGUUGUAAACCUCUUUCAGCAGGGAAGAAGCGAAAGUGACGGUACCUGCAGAAGAAGCACCGGCUAACUACGUGCCAGCAGCCGCGGUAAUACGUAGGGUGCAAGCGUUGUCCGGAAUUAUUGGGCGUAAAGAGCUCGUAGGUGGUUUGCCACGUCGGAUGUGAAAACCUGAGGCUUAACCUCAGGCCUGCAUUCGAUACGGGCAGACUAGAGUGUGGUAGGGGAGACUGGAAUUCCUGGUGUAGCGGUGAAAUGCGCAGAUAUCAGGAGGAACACCGGUGGCGAAGGCGGGUCUCUGGGCCAUAACUGACACUGAGGAGCGAAAGCGUGGGGAGCAAACAGGAUUAGAUACCCUGGUAGUCCACGCCGUAAACGGUGGGCACUAGAUGUGGGGACCUUCCACGGUCUCUGCGUCGCNGCUACGCAUAGUCGCCCGCCGUCGGGAGGUACGGCCGCGACGGACGUAAACUACAAAGAAGUAGUACGACGNGAGAGUACGCGACGACGACGACGACGGAGGAGG
This 606-nucleotide ribosomal RNA is filed under the name uncultured bacterium. RNAcentral describes it as "bacterial SSU rRNA". The stretch from base 1 to 521 matches the Rfam family "Bacterial small subunit ribosomal RNA", at positions 338 to 873 of the family's 1533-position model. The record is from RNAcentral.